Acanthosepion pharaonis is the source of this 83-nucleotide non-coding RNA. NCBI's taxonomy places the organism in Eukaryota, Metazoa, Mollusca, Cephalopoda, Sepiida, Sepiidae. The record is from the annotation of a GenBank genome assembly.
CCUUACGAUCCCUGUAGUUAAGCAAUGUCGAGCCUGGUCAGUACUUAGAUGGAUGAUCACUUAGGAAUACCAGGUGCUGUAAG